Molecule: long non-coding RNA, 1050 nt
Filed under: Betta splendens (Siamese fighting fish)
Lineage: Eukaryota; Metazoa; Chordata; Actinopteri; Anabantiformes; Osphronemidae
Description: lncRNA (ENSBSLG00000019646.1)
Source: RNAcentral
AUGCGCGCCUUGCACAAUCUGGGCAAGGGUAUGGAGAUGUACAGUCCCGUCACACAUAAGAAAGUAGAGGUGGCCGACAUCAAGGUAACGAAAAAGGAGCCCGUGGCUCCCUUGUAUUACACGGUGUGUACCACGUGUCAGUUUGAAUGCUUCACCUCCAGCCUCGACGGAGGAAUAGAUGUAGGCCACUUUCCCAAUUGUCACCUGACGUGGGACGUCUCCAACGCACACGGACUUAACCCUGAAGACCAUGUGAUCCGGUUUGCGAUUCCAACUCACACCGGUGCUGCCCCUUUACCCUCAUAUACAUAUACUACUUCUUCUACUUCCGCCUCUCGAGGAGUGCAGACGUGUUUUCUCUCUGCUCCCACUCUGCUUUUGCUUGCAGUGUCCUUGUCUUGUCUUUUUCUGAGCACCCUGAUCUGCUAUUCUGGAAUAACAUUUUUGAACAUGGAGCUAAUCAACUGGUCACUCAGCGCAUUGGACAAAAUGUUUUCACAAAGGAAAGAAUCUCCGGGAGAACCACUCUGCCCCUUGGGGACUUUUGCCUCCGAAUCCGCGUGGGAUUCCUGGUGCCCCCUGUGUCUGGAGCCUCUGUCCAUCGAGGAUGCAGAGGAUCUAUUCAUAUUUUGGACGUUGAUAACUGGGCUACUCAUGAUUGGCUUUGGUGGUGCCCUGCUUUAUCGGAAGAUUGGAAAGAUUGGAAAAUCUGUGGCCGGCUCAUUGGCGUGUCCACCGGCUGUGGAGCUGCAAACGCCGACGGGGGCCAUGGUUACUCGGCUGACGGAAUUACACCAGAGGAUUGCCCGGAUUGAAGGACUGAUCUGUAACAUCUCAGCCCGUUCGGAUGCCCGGAUUACAGGACUGACUAAUAAGAUCUCAGCCCGUACGGAGGAAGACAAGAGACUGAGGGAUAACAUCUGCAGACAGACUGAACACUUGGUGAAUAUGGUGACAGCCUUGUCUGACAGGCUUGAGGAGAUGUCACGGGUGACCCAUGGUCCCACAAGAGGCGAAGAAGCCCUGAGUUCUGACCGAUUGGAGUAUUGA